AGCGAACGCUGGCGGCAGGCCUAACACAUGCAAGUCGAACGAACAUUUCGGGUUCAGUGUCGGAUGGGUUAGUAGCACGUCGGAACGUUCCCUCUUGUUCGGGAUAACUCUGGGACUCUUGUGCCAAUACCGAAUCUGCCCUUCGACGGAAAGAUUUAUCGCCUUUAGAGCGUCCGUCGUCUGAUUAGCUAUUUGGUUGAGGUAUUGGCUCACCAAGGCGACGAUCAGUAGCUGGUCUGAGAGGAUGAUAAACCACAUUGGGACUGUGACACGGCACAAAGUCCUACGGGAGGCGGCAGUGGGGGACCGUGCGCAAUGGGCUAAAGCCUGACGGAGCCAUGACGCGUGAAUGAUGAAGGUCUUAGGAUUGUAAAAUUCUUUUAACGAGGACGAUAUUGACGGUACCCGGAGAAAAAGCCACGGCUAACUUCGUG
Molecule: ribosomal RNA, 434 nt
Filed under: uncultured bacterium
Lineage: Bacteria
Description: partial 16S ribosomal RNA
Rfam family: Bacterial small subunit ribosomal RNA
Source: RNAcentral